UUGCUCUUGUGCGGCAUGGCGGAGGAGCCGCCGCCGCUGCCCUCGGCGAGUUCUGCGGUCUCGGUGCGGGCGAGCAGG
This 78-nucleotide transfer RNA is filed under the name Streptomyces gardneri. RNAcentral's name for it is "tRNA-Gly". The record is from RNAcentral. Lineage: Bacteria; Bacillati; Actinomycetota; Actinomycetes; Kitasatosporales; Streptomycetaceae.